Molecule: transfer RNA, 65 nt
Filed under: Millerozyma farinosa
Lineage: Eukaryota; Fungi; Ascomycota; Pichiomycetes; Serinales; Debaryomycetaceae
Description: partial transfer RNA
Source: RNAcentral
ACCCGGAUGCGAACCGGGGGUGUCCGGAUCAAAACCGAAAGKGAUAACCACYACACUAUACAACC